This 376-nucleotide unclassified non-coding RNA is filed under the name uncultured Gaiellales bacterium. RNAcentral describes it as "contains 16S-23S intergenic spacer region". The record is from RNAcentral. Lineage: Bacteria; Bacillati; Actinomycetota; Thermoleophilia; Gaiellales.
UCACGCCUUACGGCGGCAGUUUCACUAGAGUGCCCCACUUAAGGCUGGCAACUAACGACAGAGGUUGCGCUCGUUGCGGGACUUAACCCAACAUCUCACGACACGAGCUGACGACAGCCAUGCACCACCUGUGCACUGAUCCCGAAGGAGGACCGUAUUUCUACGGUUUUCCAGUGCAUGUCAAGCCCUGGUAAGGUUCUUCGCGUUGCAUCGAAUUAAACCACAUGCUCCGCUGCUUGUGCGGGGCCCCGUCAAUUCCUUUGAGUUUUAGCCUUGCGGCCGUACUCCCCAGGCGGGGUGCUUAAUGCGUUAGCUACGGCACGGAAGGAGUCGACACCUCCCACACCUAGCACCCAUCGUUUACGGCGUGGACUAC